RNAcentral lists this ribosomal RNA (484 nucleotides) under uncultured bacterium. RNAcentral's name for it is "partial 16S ribosomal RNA". It matches the Rfam family "Bacterial small subunit ribosomal RNA", at positions 30 to 507 of the family's 1533-position model. The record is from RNAcentral.
AUUGAACGCUGGCGGCAGGCCUAACACAUGCAAGUCGAGCGGAUGAAGGGAGCUUGCUCCUGGAUUCAGCGGCGGACGGGUGAGUAAUGCCUAGGAAUCUGCCUGGUAGUGGGGGAUAACGUCCGGAAACGGGCGCUAAUACCGCAUACGUCCUGAGGGAGAAAGUGGGGGAUCUUCGGACCUCACGCUAUCAGAUGAGCCUAGGUCGGAUUAGCUAGUUGGUGGGGUAAAGGCCUACCAAGGCGACGAUCCGUAACUGGUCUGAGAGGAUGAUCAGUCACUCUGGAACUGAGACACGGUCCAGACUCCUACGGGAGGCAGCAGUGGGGAAUAUUGGACAAUGGGCGAAAGCCUGAUCCAGCCAUGCCGCGGGUGUGAAGAAGGUCUUCGGAUUUUAAAGCACUUUAAGUUGGGAGGAAGGGCAGUAAGUUAAUACCUUGCUGUUUUGACGUUACCAACAGAAUAAGCACCGGCUAACUUCGUG